This 253-nucleotide ribosomal RNA is filed under the name uncultured bacterium. Its description in RNAcentral is "partial 16S ribosomal RNA". It matches the Rfam family "Bacterial small subunit ribosomal RNA", at positions 524 to 776 of the family's 1533-position model. The record is from RNAcentral.
GACGUAGGGCGCGAGCGUUGUCCGGAUUUAUUGGGCGUAAAGAGCUCGUAGGCGGCUUGUUACGUCGGCUGUGAAAUCCCGUGGCUCAACUGCGGGUCUGCAGCCGAUACGGGCAGGCUAGAGUUCGGUAGGGGAGACUGGAAUUCCUGGUGUAGCGGUGAAAUGCGCAGAUAUCAGGAGGAACACCGGUGGCGAAGGCGGGUCUCUGGGCCGAUACUGACGCUGAGGAGCGAAAGCGUGGGGAGCGAACAGG